CUUUUGGGAAAAGCCUUGUAAAUGGCAAGGUCGAGGCGAAUCGACGGGAGCCUUGCUCCCUGAGAUUAGCGGCGGACGGGUGAGUAACACGUGGGCAACCUGCCUAUAAGACUGGGAUAACUUCGGGAAACCGGAGCUAAUACCGGAUACGUUCUUUUCUCGCAUGAGAGAAGAUGGAAAGACGGUUUACGCUGUCACUUAUAGAUGGGCCCGCGGCGCAUUAGCUAGUUGGUGAGGUAAUGGCUCACCAAGGCGACGAUGCGUAGCCGACCUGAGAGGGUGAUCGGCCACACUGGGACUGAGACACGGCCCAGACUCCUACGGGAGGCAGCAGUAGGGAAUCUUCCGCAAUGGACGAAAGUCUGACGGAGCAACGCCGCGUGAACGAAGAAGGCCUUCGGGUCGUAAAGUUCUGUUGUUAGGGAAGAACAAGUACCAGAGUAACUGCUGGUACCUUGACGGUACCUAACCAGAAAGCCACGGCUAACUACGUGCCAGCAGCCGCGGUAAUACGUAGGUGGCAAGCGUUGUCCGGAAUUAUUGGGCGUAAAGCGCGCGCAGGUGGUUCCUUAAGUCUGAUGUGAAAGCCCACGGCUCAACCGUGGAGGGUCAUUGGAAACUGGGGAACUUGAGUGCAGAAGAGGAAAGUGGAAUUCCAAGUGUAGCGGUGAAAUGCGUAGAGAUUUGGAGGAACACCAGUGGCGAAGGCGACUUUCUGGUCUGUAACUGACACUGAGGCGCGAAAGCGUGGGGGAGCAAACAGGAUUAGAUACCCUGGUAGUCCACGCCGUAAACGAUGAGUGCUAAGUGUUAGAGGGUUUCCGCCCUUUAGUGCUGCAGCUAACGCAUUAAGCACUCCGCCUGGGGGAGUACGGCCGCAAGGGCUGAAAACUCAAAGGGAAUUGACGGGGGGGCCCGGCACAAGCCGGGUGGGAGGCAUGUGGGUUUUAAUUUCGGAAGCAACGGCGAAGGAAACCCUUACCCAGGUUCUUUGACAUCCCUCUGAACAACGCCUAGAAGAUAAGGGCUUUCCCCCUUUCGGGGGACAGAGUGACAGGGUGGUUGCAUUGGCUUGUCGUUCAGCCUCGUGUUCGUGAGAUGUUUGGGCUUAAAGUCCCCGCCAACGAAGCGGCAACCUUGAUCUUAGGUUGGCCAGCCAAUUCCAGAUUGGGGCCAACUCUCCUUGAGAG
RNAcentral lists this ribosomal RNA (1190 nucleotides) under Peribacillus frigoritolerans. RNAcentral's name for it is "bacterial SSU rRNA". It matches the Rfam family "Bacterial small subunit ribosomal RNA", at positions 36 to 1147 of the family's 1533-position model. Lineage: Bacteria; Bacillati; Bacillota; Bacilli; Caryophanales; Bacillaceae. The record is from RNAcentral.